Molecule: ribosomal RNA, 453 nt
Filed under: uncultured bacterium
Lineage: Bacteria
Description: bacterial SSU rRNA
Rfam family: Bacterial small subunit ribosomal RNA
Source: RNAcentral
GAUGAACGCUAGCGGCAGGCCUAACACAUGCAAGUCGAGGGGCAGCAUAAAAAUAGCUUGCUAUUUUGGUGGCGACCGGCGCACGGGUGCGUAACGCGUAUGCAACCUACCUUAUACUGGGAGAUAGCCCGGAGAAAUUCGGAUUAAUACCCCAUAGUAUUAUUGGAUCGCAUGGUUUGAUAAUUAAAGGCUACGGUAUAAGAUGGGCAUGCGUCCUAUUAGCUAGAUGGUGAGGUAACGGCUCACCAUGGCGACGAUAGGUAGGGGGCCUGAGAGGGUGGUCCCCCACACUGGUACUGAGACACGGACCAGACUCCUACGGGAGGCAGCAGUGAGGAAUAUUGGUCAAUGGGCGCAAGCCUGAACCAGCCAUGCCGCGUGGCAGGAAGAAUGCCCUAUGGGUGUAAACUGCUUUUAUUGGAAUAAACCUCUUUAACGUGUUAGAGAGCUGAA